This 319-nucleotide ribosomal RNA is filed under the name uncultured cyanobacterium. Its description in RNAcentral is "bacterial SSU rRNA". It matches the Rfam family "Bacterial small subunit ribosomal RNA", at positions 379 to 712 of the family's 1533-position model. The record is from RNAcentral. Lineage: Bacteria; Bacillati; Cyanobacteriota.
AAGCCUGACGGAGCAAGACCGCGUGAGGGAAGAAGGCUUUUGGGUUGUAAACCUCUUUUAUCAGGGAAGAACACAAUGACGGUACCUGAUGAAUCAGCAUCGGCUAACUCCGUGCCAGCAGCCGCGGUAAUACGGAGGAUGCAAGCGUUAUCCGGAAUGAUUGGGCGUAAAGCGUCCGCAGGUGGCUGGGUAAGUCCGCUGUUAAAGCCAGUAGCUCAACUACUGAACAGCAGUGGAAACUACCCGACUUGAGAGCAGUAGGGGUCACGGGAAUUUCCAGAGUAGCGGUGAAAUGCGUAGAGACUGGAAAGAACACCAA